RNAcentral lists this ribosomal RNA (303 nucleotides) under uncultured bacterium. RNAcentral's name for it is "partial 16S ribosomal RNA". It matches the Rfam family "Bacterial small subunit ribosomal RNA", at positions 507 to 807 of the family's 1533-position model. The record is from RNAcentral.
AGCAGUAGCCGCGGUAAUACAGAGGGUGCGAGCGUUAAUCGGAUUUACUGGGCGUAAAGCGUGCGUAGGCGGCUAAUUGAGUCGGAUGUGAAAUCCCCGAGCUUAACUUGGGAACUGCAUUUGAAACUGGCAGGCUAGAGUCUUGUAGAGGGGGGUAGAAUUCCAGGUGUAGCGGUGAAAUGCGUAGAGAUCUGGAGGAAUACCGGUGGCGAAGGCGGCCCCCUGGACAAAGACUGACGCUCAGGUGCGAAAGCGUGGGGAGCAAACAGGAUUAGAUACCCCGGUAGUCCCUGUCUCUUAUAC